This 1305-nucleotide long non-coding RNA is filed under the name Vulpes vulpes (red fox). RNAcentral describes it as "lncRNA (ENSVVUG00000022204.1)". The record is from RNAcentral. Lineage: Eukaryota; Metazoa; Chordata; Mammalia; Carnivora; Canidae.
CCUGCUUCUACCUUUCCCAUUGGACCCUCAUGCACUCUUUCUCUCUUUCUCUCUCUCUUUCUCACACACUCUCUCAAAUACAUAAAUAAACAAACCUUAAAAAAAAAAAAAGAAAAGAUCAUUUCCCCUUGAAUCAGUAGUCAACGAAAGAAUAAAAUGUUUUGGUGUGAUUCAAACAAAUAGGCUCAAGAUACUGAAGGUUUUAAAAUGGCAAAAAUUAAAUAAAGACAUAGACUUGACCUGUCUUUAACACAGCAGUGUGGCAUCACACCAUAUCAGACCAUUCCUGUCCUGGUAACACAGAAUAGGUGACAAAGGUCAGCCUAGCUCCAAGUACCUAUAUUGUAUAGAUGUUGCAUAGCCUAAUGCCCUUCAGCAGCUUUUUACCUGAGAAGGGGGUGCAGUGAGGGGACUUUACUCCUCAGCCCUUACUAAAAUAAAACACCAGGGAAAAGAGCUGGAAGGUAGGAGCUCAACAAGAAUGUCCUUAGGUUUAAUCCUUAGGAUGAUGAGUUCCAAAACAAUAUCCUGGACAAUAAACUGCAGUGUACUUGAAGUAAACUUUUUUUUUUUCAUUUUCUAGUGAAAUGGGCCAGGAGAGACUACAUUUCCUUGAAGCCAAUAUCCUACUUCCAUCAAAAGCAUCUCCUUCCAAGACUCAUCCAUAAAAGUGAAGACCAGGAUUGAUAAGCAAUGAGAAUCAGUGUGUUUUUAUACCCACAGCAAUAGUUUUUGGUACUAAGUACUCACUGUCUGGUCUUCACAUGACCAUGCAAAGAAAAAAAACCUGUCACUCAAGAUUCUCCCCACACAUAUUUUUAUAAGUGAAUAUAAAGUCAAGGAGCAUGGAGAAAAGUUUCAAAGGUUCAAAGAAGUCCAGGCGUAAUGACUGUGACUAUAUGUGGUCUCUGAAUAUGCUGGUCAGCAAACACAAACAAAUAUUCUCCUAACCUACAGACAUGAGUGGCAGGAAUCUGGAGAAGAGAAAGAGAAGAGUUACCCGAGGAACAUAAAGGUAAUCUGCAGUCUUGGGUUGUUGUUACGGGUUAAAUUUUGUCCAUCCAAAAUCCACAGGUUAAUCCAAGGCAUCAGAAUGUGAUAAUUUUUUUGGAGAUACGGCCUUUAAACAGAUGAACAUUUCAAAAUAGGACAUUUAGAGCAGGUCCCUAAACUCAUGUGACUAGCACCCUUAUAUAAGGGAAAGGCCAGCACCUUGAUCACGGGUUCUAGAAUUGUUAGAUCAUGACUUUCAAUUGCUUAAGAUGCCUAAGUCUACGGUAUUUUGUUAUGGUGGCUCUAGCAAAC